This 492-nucleotide ribosomal RNA is filed under the name uncultured bacterium. RNAcentral's name for it is "partial 16S ribosomal RNA". It matches the Rfam family "Bacterial small subunit ribosomal RNA", at positions 29 to 507 of the family's 1533-position model. The record is from RNAcentral.
AGUGAACGCUGGCGGUAGGCCUAACACAUGCAAGUCGAACGGCAGCACAGUAAGAGCUUGCUCUUACGGGUGGCGAGUGGCGGACGGGUGAGGAAUACAUCGGAAUCUACUUUUUCGUGGGGGAUAACGUAGGGAAACUUACGCUAAUACCGCAUACGACCUACGGGUGAAAGCAGGGGAUCUUCGGUCCUUGCGCGAUUGAAUGAGCCGAUGUCGGAUUAGCUAGUUGGCGGGGUAAAGGCCCACCAAGGCGACGAUCCGUAGCUGGUCUGAGAGGAUGAUCAGCCACACUGGAACUGAGACACGGUCCAGACUCCUACGGGAGGCAGCAGUGGGGAAUAUUGGACAAUGGGCGCAAGCCUGAUCCAGCCAUACCGCGUGGGUGAAGAAGGCCUUCGGGUUGUAAAGCCCUUUUGUUGGGAAAGAAAAGCAGCAGGUUAAUACCCCGCCGUUCUGACGGUACCCAAAGAAUAAGCACCGGCUAACUUCGUG